Chlorocebus sabaeus (green monkey) is the source of this 94-nucleotide microRNA precursor. NCBI's taxonomy places the organism in Eukaryota, Metazoa, Chordata, Mammalia, Primates, Cercopithecidae. The record is from Ensembl.
GUGUGUGUGUGUGUGUGUGGUUAUUUUGGUAUAGUAGCUCUAGACUCUAUUAUAGUUUCCUGAGCUGCUGUACCAAAAUACCACAAACUGCCUG